Molecule: small RNA, 27 nt
Filed under: Bombyx mori (domestic silkworm)
Lineage: Eukaryota; Metazoa; Arthropoda; Insecta; Lepidoptera; Bombycidae
Description: ovarian small RNA-37177
Source: RNAcentral
UUCCCGCAUCGAAGAGGUAGGAGCUGC